RNAcentral lists this ribosomal RNA (744 nucleotides) under uncultured Porphyromonadaceae bacterium. RNAcentral's name for it is "bacterial SSU rRNA". It matches the Rfam family "Bacterial small subunit ribosomal RNA", at positions 90 to 832 of the family's 1533-position model. Lineage: Bacteria; Pseudomonadati; Bacteroidota; Bacteroidia; Bacteroidales; Porphyromonadaceae. The record is from RNAcentral.
GGCGACCGGCGCACGGGUGCGUAACGCGUAUGCAACUUGCCUCACAGAGGGGGAUAACCCGUCGAAAGACGGACUAAUACCGCGUACACUCCACCUUGGGCAUCCAAGGAGGAGGAAAUGAAAUUCGCUGUGAGAUAGGCAUGCGUCCCAUUAGCUUGUUGGUGAGGUAACGGCUCACCAAGGCGACGAUGGGUAGGGGAACUGAGAGGUUGAACCCCCACACUGGUACUGAGACACGGACCAGACUCCUACGGGAGGCAGCAGUGAGGAAUAUUGGUCAAUGGGCGAGAGCCUGAACCAGCCAAGUCGCGUGAAGGAUGACUGUCUUAUGGAUUGUAAACUUCUUUUAUACGGGAAUAACAAGAGUCACGUGUGACUCCCUGCAUGUACCGUAUGAAUAAGCAUCGGCUAACUCCGUGCCAGCAGCCGCGGUAAUACGGAGGAUGCGAGCGUUAUCCGGAUUUAUUGGGUUUAAAGGGUGCGUAGGCGGCCUGUUAAGUCAGCGGUGAAAUCUAGGAGCUUAACUCCUAAAUUGCCAUUGAAACUGGCGGGCUUGAGUGUAGAUGAGGUAGGCGGAAUGCAUGGUGUAGCGGUGGAAUGCAUAGAUAUCACGCAGAACUCCAAUUGCGAAGGCAGCUUACUAAGGUACAACUGACGCUGAAGCACGAAAGCGUGGGUAUCAAACAGGAUUAGAUACCCUGGUAGUCCACGCAGUAAACGAUGAUAACUGGGCGUAUGCGAUAU